Apus apus (common swift) is the source of this 1004-nucleotide long non-coding RNA. RefSeq lists it as uncharacterized. The record is from RefSeq and is a predicted model, not a curated record. Lineage: Eukaryota; Metazoa; Chordata; Aves; Apodiformes; Apodidae. The transcript has 4 exons.
GAAUCACCAAGGCUGGAAAAGACCUUUAAGAUCAUCAAGUCCAGCCUAUGACUGACAUGACCACAUCUCCAAAACCAUGGCACUAGGUGCCACAUCCAGCCUUUCCUUGAACACAUCCAGGGACGGUGCCUCCACCACUUCCCCAACUAUGAAACAUCCCCAUUAGCUCCUGACCCUGCUUCUAGUCUCCCAACUCAAAAUGGGUCUGUUUGGGGGGGGCUUGAAGAAAGACAUUAACAGUGAACAUGGGCUUUGGUGGGUGCUGUUUCUUGAGUAUAUUCUGAUUUGUUUUUCAUUCACUCCCCCAGGACACAUCAUGAACACAGUCCCUGCUACCUCAAAUUCCACGGUCCAGUUUCCCACGUGUUGGUAAAUCCACGGGGUCCGCAUGCCCAGGGUGCAAGAAGUGGAUGGGAAAACCCAAUUGCCUGUUUCCUUUUGCCAGGUAAGAGGAGCCCUGGCCCUGCUGGAGGGAUGAUAUCUGUUACUUGCUUGGCAUCACCACAUGGGGCAAACUGUGCCACCUCUUUCCUGAUUUCCUAUGGACCUGGAAAAGCUUGACUGCAAUCACACACACCCUUUCCCAAGCAGAGCUGAGGCCUGACUCUGCCCACACAACAACGUGCCCUCGGCCACACCGCUUGGAAGCUGCACCAGCAGGGAACAGCCCACCAGACCAGGCAGAAGCAAGCAAUGUGCUUUGGACCCGACGCUGUGCCAGUCCUCCCGAGUGACUUCAGCUGAGCGGUACGAGAGACAUGGGAUCGCUGGUCCAGGUGAGCCCCAGCACAGCACCACUGUCCUCUUCAUUGCAAGCAAUAAUGUAAGCAAGAGAAGAAAAGCUUGGCUUGGGGUAUUGCUGAAGCAGGAGGCAAAUGUGAAGCUGUGAUGUUUGAGGCCUGGGUGAGCCUGUUCCUGAAUCUCCUCAAACUCUGGCCCCAGAGGAGCCUUCAUGCUCGCAGCUCUGCCUCUGUCCUGUCUCUCUGCCUUUCUCCCCCAGCAAA